AGUGAACGCUGGCGGUAGGCCCAACACAUGCAAGUCGAACGGCAGCACAGUAAGAGCUUGCUCUUACGGGUGGCGAGUGGCGGACGGGUGAGGAAUACAUCGGAAUCUACUUUUUCGUGGGGGAUAACGUAGGGAAACUUACGCUAAUACCGCAUACGACCUACGGGUGAAAGCAGGGGAUCUUCGGACCUUGCGCGAUUGAAUGAGCCGAUGUCGGAUUAGCUAGUUGGCGGGGUAAAGGCCCACCAAGGCGACGAUCCGUAGCUGGUCUGAGAGGAUGAGCAGCCACACUGGAACUGAGACACGGUCCAGACUCCUACGGGAGGCAGCAGUGGGGAAUAUUGGACAAUGGGCGCAAGCCUGAUCCAGCCAUACCGCGUGGGUGAAGAAGGCCUUCGGGUUGUAAAGCCCUUUUGUUGGGAAAGAAAAGCAGCAGGUUAAUACCCCGCUGUUCUGACGGUACCCAAAGAAUAAGCACCGGCUAACUUCGUG
Molecule: ribosomal RNA, 492 nt
Filed under: uncultured bacterium
Lineage: Bacteria
Description: partial 16S ribosomal RNA
Rfam family: Bacterial small subunit ribosomal RNA
Source: RNAcentral